This is a non-coding RNA of Delphinapterus leucas (beluga whale), 4009 nucleotides long. NCBI's taxonomy places the organism in Eukaryota, Metazoa, Chordata, Mammalia, Artiodactyla, Monodontidae. The record is from RefSeq and is a predicted model, not a curated record.
GUCCUGGGCCCAUGAUGCUACCCUUUCUCUCUGGCACUUUUCCCCUUCCUGCCAUUUGGGGGGACUGGUUGAGUCCUCUGGCCGGGCUGUGGUUCACGGAGGCCAGUUUCCGUACCUCUGCGGGGUAGGCAGUGGGGGGCUGUAUCCACGUCCCCCCAAGGGGUGGAGUGACCGCGCAGGGAUAUGCCAGAGCGGAUGCCACUGUCUUUCCCCUUCGCUUAGCCUUCACCUGCAGGUCAAAGUAGGCUCCACUUCCGCUUGCCGACCCCAGCCUGUCCUUUGGUCCCAAGAGCAAACUGGUUGAACUAGUGGAGGUUGUGCGGCUGCUAAGUCCCGGGCUUCAAGACCUCUUCCCUGUCACCCUGCCUUGAGUAAGCUUGGACUAGGGCUUCUGGGUCCCUGGCUGCCUACAUUUAGGCUGGGGUGGAGGGCAAGGGGAACUGUAGCUGGGAGUGGAAGGAGCCUGGGGCUGGGUGUGAGGGGGAAAGCCCAAGUGUGUGUGUGGGGGGGUGUCUGCCUUACCUAGAGCCUGCCUGCCUGCCUGCCUGGUGGAUGCACCACAGAUGUUGACUCCAGCCGCGCGCGAGCAUGUGUGUGUGUGUGUGUGUGUGUGUGUGUGUGUGUGUACAGGCACGUGCAACCAGUGUCAGUGUCAGGGUCUGAUGGGGACAUUUCUCUGACUUCAAUGUGACCACCACAGACUCUCAGUCCUAGAGUAGGAACCCCGGGGCGUCAGCGUCCAUUCUACUGAGGACAGAGCAAGAGAAAAGUCCAAGCUCUAUACAUGGAGCUCCAACAUUCCUACAGGAGCUAGGGUGGGAGAGAGAAAGUGGAGAAGGGCAGCAGUAGCAGUGGGGGCUGGACUUGGCUGGAGAGAUGCACCCAAGGGACCUUCCCCAGCAACAGUUCUGGGGUGGCCAGCACUGGGGACACUGAGUCUUGGUCACGUCACGUUUCCCAUACCGGAAUUACUUUGCUCUGUCCUCACUGCCACCCUAGGGACCAGGUAUCCUCCCUCCGGGGAAAGGGAAAGGCCACUUCUGGUAGCCAGAGUCAGGCGAAGGGGAGAGGAAAGAGGGGCCUGCUGUGGCUCUCUCAGGAGAACAGGAGCCGUUGAUGGGGUACAGACAAGGCCCUCCCUUUCACACUAGGGGUGGGAAGAGCCGGGAAUAGGUACUCCAGGGUCCCGUCCCCAGGUGGCCUGGCUGCUGUUGACUUUGCUUGGUUACCCUGGGAGCAGCUCUCAGCAGUGUGAGAGGGGCGGGUGUCGGAGAGUUGGACCCAGGCGUCCAGGCUGGGGUGGGAUGGCACUCGGCCUUUGUGGCAGGGAUCCCCGUCAGGAGCCUGCAAAGUUAACCCCUCCUGCCCUGGUGGUGGUGGUAGCUGGCGGAAGGAGGGCGGGCCCAGCUGCGGUUUGUGAGUGUGGCCCUAAUUCCCCUUCCCUCUCCCAGCACAUCUGUACUUGGUUUACAGUGAAUGAGUCUCCUGUCCUCAUGAACCGGGUGAGGGCACCACUCCCUCCCUGGCCCCUGGCCGGGCAUCCUGACACAGAACCAGGCACCACCCACCCCUGGAACGCUCUCCCUGCUGGGCCUGCUCCGUGCCGAGGCUGGUGCCAGCCUUGCCCUGCGUGCUUGCUCAGUUCCACCCCUUGUAUCAGGCCUAUGUUGCUGCUUGCCAGUUUGUUGGUUCUCCUGGUGAAUGAGUUUGUGUGUCGAAGAUACUUACCAGCCUCAGAGCUGCCCAGAUCCCCACAUAGAAUAAGGCCUUGAUUUUGAAACACAGCAUUUUAGGACUGGCCUAAACAACUCUAGGAAUUUCUUCCCUGAACAUGCACCAUUCAUUAAUUCAACAAAUCUUUAUUAAGCAUCCACUAUAUGCCAAGCACUGUGCUAGGCCCUGGGUAUGGUCUCUGCCCUUUCGGGCUUAUAGUCUGGUAGAGAAGUCAGACAUGAAACAAAUCACCCACAAAAUUGCAAGUGACAACCAGCGUGGAGAGGUAUAAGGUGCUGUGAGAAUGGAUAGUAGAAGAGUCUUUUCCCCCAGCCAAGGAGAUUAGAAAAGACUUUUGCGGGGGGGUGUGGGGGCAGUAGAGAGAAGGGAGGGCAGCAGAAGCAGAAGAGUAUGUGCAAAGGCCCUGGAAUCAGGGUCCUGGCUCCCAGCCACCCUGCUCCCCCGGAAAGAAGAAGGUCCCUCCUCACCUGGAUUUUGAUAUGUUACAAGGGAGGGAUGGUAAGCACCUCCUAAUGGCCAAAGCAGGACCCUGGGACACCUGGUGAUCCUGCCCUGGAAUGAUUCCACCCAUUCCUUCAUCUCUUCCUCCAGAAAGGGAAACAGAGGCACAGAUAGGGAGGAGGAAUCCACAGGCAUAGGCCCGACAUUACAUAGAGAAAACAAGGCCGCACAUUGUUGGCAAAUCCCUCAGGGUGAGGGAUUCCUGAGUUUGCCUGGCUGGAGCCUCACCAGAUAGAAAACCCUUCUACUCUGAUCUGUUUGACCGUGCACCCUCACCCUCUGGGAUCCAGCCCUGACCUGUUCCACUCCCUGGAAUGAGGAGCAUGUCUGCUUCCACAGUUGCCCGGAGUUUGUGAGCUGACUGCUCCAGGUGGCGGCCAGGCCCGCUGUGGGUGGGCGCAGCAGUCCAUUUUGUACAGAACCUCCAUCCCGGGUUAUGGGGUUAUCUCUCCUCUGUCCACUUGGGGGCUUCCAGCCCCUCCUGCCCAGACACCGAGGUUCCAGGCUUCUUCCUUUCUGAAGAAAAGGGAUGGAGGGUCCUUUGGAGGAGGGAGCAGGCUUCUUGUGGCCAUGCCUCCUCCGGAGCUGGCAAAGAGGUCAUGGGACCAAUGGGGUUAAGUUCCAGCCCUGCUCUGACCCAUUUUCCUCCCUGUGCCCACAUGCCCUGGGGCCAGGGUGUUGGGUGGGGCAGGCCUGGCACCCCUGCACCCACACCUGGGACUUCUCCUGGAUGGAAACUCCCAGAACCCUGGUGUCCUACCUCCUCUGCCAGCUCCCACCAACAGCCUGGGUUCUGUUCACUUACAGUGGGAUCUCCCUGUCUGCCAGCUCUCCUCCAGACUACAUCUCCGCCUUAGCCCUGAGGGGCCCUGAGGAUGUGGGCCCACUUUCUGGGACCAUAUUUGAUGUCUGGCUGCCCUUUCUAGUGAACCUCUUCGAAGAAAAGAUGUGGGGCUGGGGGGAGGGCGUUGGGAAGCUAUCCUUCGUUGACCAUCUCUAUGUGCCAGGCGUUGUGCUAGGGCAUGUACGUUACUCAUUUAAUCCACAAAGCAGUCCAGAGAAGUAGCAGUUAUUAUCAACCCCAUCACAGGGGAGGGAGCUGAGAACCAGAGAGGUUAAGCAGCUUGCCCAGUAUCAUCACACAGCUAGCACACAGCAGAGCUAAGAUGGGAACCUAGGUCUUGGUGGUCCUGAGGUCUCUUCACCACGACAGGCUUCCUCCUCUUCUGCAGCUGCCCACCUCUCCAUGAGAUGAGAGACUUGGAAAUAAUCAGUUCAGUUCAAUCCAAUUCAGAAAACAGUCAUUGAGCAUCUGCUGUAUGCCAGGCCCGGACAGGUGCCAGACCAGUGACAGGGAAGGUUGCUGACUCAGGGUCUGGUGGGAAAGAUAGGUGUAUGAACUAGGCAGUAUCUAACUUCAGCAUAAUGAUUUGAACGAGGCGGCAUGGAGUGGAGAAAGAAACAGUACUUCCAUUUUCUCUUUCUGAAAGAGUAAAGAAAUAUAUUAUGAACAGUGUACAGAAUAAAUUGGAAUAAAGCGAAUACCUACUCAGCUGGCAUCCAGGUCAAGAAAUAGAGUACUUCCUGCUCCAGAAGUUCCCAUGUGACUCUCCCAUCAUCCCCUCCCUCCCUUAAGAAGUAAACACCAUCCUGACUUUUGUGAUAAUUAUUUCCUUCUUUUUCUUUAUAGGAUUAGCACCUAUGUAUGCAUCCCUCAUCAAUAUUACUUAAUUUUGCCUGUUUUUGAGGUUUAUAUAAACGGAAUGACACUGUA